This 385-nucleotide unclassified non-coding RNA is filed under the name Heuchera hallii. RNAcentral describes it as "partial external transcribed spacer". Lineage: Eukaryota; Viridiplantae; Streptophyta; Magnoliopsida; Saxifragales; Saxifragaceae. The record is from RNAcentral.
GCGACUGUUUUACGUGCGCAUCAUCAAGUUUGCCCCAAUUGCUUAGAGAGCAUCAUUGGGCUUGGUUUGGUUUCUGUGUUGGCUACCWACUUGGAAGAGAGUGUCCCUUAAUGUUUGUCUUUGUAUCGGCUUGCACCCUUUUAGGGGGAAUGCUCGGUGAUCUUAGUAAUGCUUCUCAUAUUCCAUUGUCACGCUAUCACAGUGUAGUGGUGGCAACGGCCUAUGUGUAAGUAUUCGUAAUCUUGGAUGCGGAAUAUGGAAUUGGGUAUUGGGUUGAAUAAACCUUUUAUCCCAAGCAGAGCAUCUUUAUGCUCGGCACGUACGACACUUGCAAUUGCGUUGACCUUUCCCAACUUGAUUGAUGGGGGGGCUCAUGCGAUGCAAG